This is a long non-coding RNA of Lagopus muta (rock ptarmigan), 2660 nucleotides long. RefSeq lists it as uncharacterized. The record is from RefSeq and is a predicted model, not a curated record. The transcript has 3 exons. Lineage: Eukaryota; Metazoa; Chordata; Aves; Galliformes; Phasianidae.
ACGCCGCCCGCCCCCAGCGCGUCCAGCCGCGGCGUCCGGAUGGCCGAGCCGUGCCAGCCCACGUCGCCCCAGCCCAGGUCGUCGGCCAGCACCAGCACCAGCUUCUAGGUAUUUCUCCAGACUUUCUGAUGGAAGCAGUGGAAUGUGUCACAGAGGCAUUCCAAAGAAAAUGAUAGAAGGAGAGACUGAAACUUCACUCAGUACACAAGAGAUGAAAAUCCACAGUGAAAGAAAGCAGAGAAGCAGCUUAUUACUACCUUGAGAACUAGGACCAUGUGCACCUAAUGAAGUUCAACAAAACAAAGUGCAAGAUGUGUACAGACUGAGAGAACUCACUGAGCGCAGUCCUGCUAAGAAAGACUUGAAGAUACUGACUGAUAAAAACCGUAUGAAAUAAUUCUGCUGCAAGAGUGCCAUUGCAGCCCGGAAGGCUGGGUUACAUCAAAACAGGGUCGCCAGCAGGGAGGGAGAGGGGAUUGUUCCUCUUUCCUCUGCCCUUGUGAGACCCCACCUUCAUUACUGCAUCCACGCCUGGGCCCCCAGCGUAAGAAUCAGAGUCACAGAAUUGUAGGGGUCGAAAGGGACCUCUAGAAAUCAUUGAGUGUAACACCAAAGAAAGAUAUGGCACUGUUGGAGGGGAUCCAGAUGAAGGCCACAAAGGUGAUUGAAGGGCUGGAGCACCUCUCCUAUGAAGGAAGGCAGCAGGAGCUGGGCUUGUUCAACCCAGAGAGGGUUUUGGGGAGACUUCACUACAGCUUUCCAGUAAUUAAAAGAAGCUUAUAAGCAGGAGAGAAACAGGUUUUUUACAUUGAGAUUUAGAUUAGAUAUUAGGAGGAAAUUCUCUACUCACAGGUUAGUGAGACACUGGCACAAGCUGCCCAGAGAAGCUGUGGGUGGAUCCAUAGAGACGUUUAAAGCCAAGGUUGGAUGUGGCCCUGGGCCCUGAUCUAAUGGCAAUCCCUGCCAUGGCAGGGGAUUGGAAAUGAAUCUUCCAACACAAGCCACUCUAUGAUUGUUACUAUUUUAGUAAUUUGGAUUCCCAAACAGACAAUAUAAUAUAUGUCAGAGAGUAUUCUCUUGAAUCAAAGAAAAAAUCCUGGAAAUGAUCUGUGUUCAGUCCCCUUAGUUUUAAUCAAUUCGUUUUUCCCCGCAAGCCUUGAUCUUUGGAGAUGGGUGAGCAUUCUUUUCUUGUUUGUCCCUUUGGCCACUUCACCCUUGUGUCACCUUUCUACAUGCUAAUCUUUCCAAAUGUAACAGAGCAGUAAUAAAGCAGCUAGGCAAACUAGAAAGCCCCGCCAGACAGCACUUAUAACACUUAGACAUGUUUACUUAAAACUGCUUGAGAUACCUCUACUGUGGAUUACACUGUAAAAUAGAAAGCAAGGUCAUUCUUUAGACAGAAAGGAGUGCAGCAGUCUCUCAGACACACUUUUUGUCUUAUUUGCGGCUAGUGAUGAUCAUGGUUUUACAAGAUGAUUUUAGUCUUACAAGUCAGCAGCAGUAAAGAGACUUAAUUUUGUUUUGCUUUGUCUAUAUGCAGCAUUCUGCAAUUUUUGUCUGCUUCCCUAUAUCUUGAAACUAAAUUAAAUUUAACUGGACAAGGCUCAAGCUUGGUGAGACCCAAGAACAAUAGCUGUUCCUGAGCAGCCCACAUCAGAAUUUGGGUUUCUUCUCUAGUCAAGAUUUGAAACUGAAAAUUAGUGUAAGUAAUUUACAUGACAGUUAAUCUAAAUUAAAGCACCUUCUUGAAUGCCUUACUGAAUAAAGAUAAAAUUUUUCAGCAGUCCAGUGUUAUGACUAUCUGUAAAAUGAGACGAUAUAAUGUAUAUGAGGAGAAGUUAGUUGCUGGGAGGUUACAGCUGGAAAUGUGCUAUAAGUCCAUGAGAAGUAGAGUUUCUGAGCUCAGUUUGGAAUUGAAGGAACUGUAUCUGUGACUGAUCAUCUUUUGCUCAGGUUACAGAAAGUCUGCACCUUCUGCCAUCAGACUGAUGUGGCUGACCUGUUAACGAAUAGCACAUUUUUUCUUCCAAACUGGAAAGAGUUACAAGCCUGAUUUUUAACUUCCAUGUAGAAAUGUGGAUGGAAUAAGUGAAGCAGCAUUCUGUAUAACAGAGCUACUUAGGAGAAUACAUGUGACAGCCUGCCUCAGAAUUACUGUUAUUGUACAAUCCCAGGCAUCAAGUCUGGUGAAUUUGCAUAUUCACUGUUUGCAUAUUAAAAUUCAAAACUAUGUUCCUAAGAAUUGUUCUCUCUUCCUUCACAUUUUAAAUAGAACACUAUGACACUGUGCUGCAUUUUAGCUUUCUUAAAUUUUCACAGAAACACUGUGGCUAAAUGCCUUUUUAAAAACAAUGUUGCCUUUACAAAAAGUAUCACCUUUGAUAGGUUCAACGAAGCAGAAUCACUUACAAAAGCAAAAUAGAAGAUUAUUUCAGAAUGGAUUUUUCACCCAAGGCAGUACUACAUGCAAACUUCCAAAUCUUUUCUCUUGAUCUUCUUUGAUAAAAAAAAAUUUGGAACAGCACAAUGUAAUGUCAGUGUGGAAUACAUCUUUUAAUAGGUGUAAAUGUUCACUGCUCAUACUGUGUUUCUCCUUGUAUAUUCUAUUUAUACAUUUCCUUCUUUGAGAAAGAUUUAGAUAAAGUAAUUGGGGAAAAAAA